This 253-nucleotide ribosomal RNA is filed under the name uncultured bacterium. Its description in RNAcentral is "partial 16S ribosomal RNA". It matches the Rfam family "Bacterial small subunit ribosomal RNA", at positions 524 to 776 of the family's 1533-position model. The record is from RNAcentral.
UACGUAGGGGGCGAGCGUUGUCCGGAUUCAUUGGGCGUAAAGCGCGCGUAGGCGGCCCCGCAAGUCGGCCGUGAAAUCUCCCAGCUCAACUGGGAGGGGUCGGGCGAGACUGCGGGGCUCGAGGUGGGUAGAGGGCAGUGGAAUUCCGGGUGUAGUGGUGGAAUGCGUAGAGAUCCGGAGGAACACCAGUGGCGAAGGCGGCUGCCUGGGCCUGGCCUGACGCUGAGGCGCGAAAGCGUGGGGAGCAAACAGG